GCGGACGUAGCUCAGCUGGUAGAGCCCUAGUCUGUGAAUCUAGUUGUCGCGGGUUCGAGCCCCGUCGUUCGCCCCA
RNAcentral lists this transfer RNA (76 nucleotides) under Candidatus Altimarinota bacterium. RNAcentral describes it as "tRNA-His". It matches the Rfam family "tRNA". From Rfam's summary of the family: Transfer RNA (tRNA) molecules are approximately 80 nucleotides in length. Their secondary structure includes four short double-helical elements and three loops (D, anti-codon, and T loops). The record is from RNAcentral. RNAcentral also lists the same sequence under 2 other names. Lineage: Bacteria; Candidatus Altimarinota.